GAUGAACGCUGGCGGCGUGCCUAAUACAUGCAAGUCGAGCGAACGGACGAGAAGCUUGCUUCCCUGAUGUUAGCGGCGGACGGGUGAGUAACACGUGGAUAACCUACCUAUAAGACUGGGAUAACUUCGGGAAACCGGAGCUAAUACCGGAUAAUAUUUUGAACCGCAUGGUUCAAAAGUGAAAGACGGUCUUGCUGUCACUUAUAGAUGGAUCCGCGCUGCAUUAGCUAGUUGGUAAGGUAACGGCUUACCAAGGCAACGAUGCAUAGCCGACCUGAGAGGGUGAUCGGCCACACUGGAACUGAGACACGGUCCAGACUCCUACGGGAGGCAGCAGUAGGGAAUCUUCCGCAAUGGGCGAAAGCCUGACGGAGCAACGCCGCGUGAGUGAUGAAGGUCUUCGGAUCGUAAAACUCUGUUAUUAGGGAAGAACAUAUGUGUAAGUAACUGUGCACGUCUUGACGGUACCUAAUCAGAAAGCCACGGCUAACUACGUG
Molecule: ribosomal RNA, 497 nt
Filed under: uncultured bacterium
Lineage: Bacteria
Description: partial 16S ribosomal RNA
Rfam family: Bacterial small subunit ribosomal RNA
Source: RNAcentral